Long non-coding RNA from Gallus gallus (chicken), 1149 nucleotides. Lineage: Eukaryota; Metazoa; Chordata; Aves; Galliformes; Phasianidae. The record is from Ensembl.
AUCUUGCUGGAUAUCCUCAUGUACCUGAGGUCUUUUGAAGGGACGCACUGGCAUUACUUACUUUGAGGCAAACUGUACCUGGAUGUUUGCAGAGGACUGAUGGGAGCUGCUGUGUGGCCUUCAGGGAGAUGCAGACAUCCUUUGAGCACACUUGUAUCUUCACAGCACAUCCUGGGGUUUAACCCACGCCAGUGGGACUCAAGAAGGAGGACCAUACACCUAUCCAUGCCAUCAGCCCCUCAGCUGCAUAGGCUCCUGUCCCAGCUGGGCAUCAGGUGCACGUGAUGGACAACGUGGUGUCAGCAGAGGUUCGUAGAUCUGACCAUGCUGUGUGAGGCACAGCUCUGUGCUCUCUGCCACAAGUGCUGCAUUGUUUGAGCCGAGGAAACAAAGGUAUCUGGAUGUGAUAUGCAGUGAUGUCAAUUUGCUGUGAGCUGCUGGGCCGCGUGGCUAAGGCACAGAUGUCUGACCUGAUGUAGUGCAGUGCCCGACCCUGGGGCAGCUCCUGCAGAGACCAAAAAUCAGCACAGAGCAAACAGAGCUUACGGCCUGAUGGAUGGCAAACGUUUACAUGAUGUAAGAGUUAAACUGACUAGAUUUUAUUUUAAUUGCCCAACACCUGGUUGUACAGAAAAUCCCAAACCAACAUUCUAAGCAUGCUUGUUACAUGUGAUCAGUGAAAACCCAGAGCAACUGCUGUACUUUUCACAGCAAGAUGCUCCUGAGCAGUAUGUGAGCUGCUAUUGGCAGGUUUACUUCUUAGGUUGGCUUUUCACACAGACUCGUGCCACACAACACAGCACCCUCGGCUUCGUUUGACUCAGAAAGUUAAAAUAGGCAGGUUAUAUAAUGAUGUUUAUCUUUACAUCAGGAAGUCAACUAAGAAGCUGUUAAGCUGAUAUUAUAUAACGCAGUCCUGGUUACAGAAAGUGUGGAGGAAGACGAUCUGGGUUGAUGUGUGUCGUAUUGGCAGUAAUUGUUAAAGGUUAUAACCAGUAUUGUGUCAUAGGCUUUUGUUUUUCACAUUCUGUAGCUGUCCUGAAAGCAUUCGGGCAUCAGCAGCCAGGAACAGAACUUCACACCUUUGUAGAAAUGUCAACCGCACUAUUCUGUACGUUAGGCAAGAGUAAACACACUUUAUAUUUAAAU